GUGAGGAAUAUUGGUCAAUGGGCGGGAGCCUGAACCAGCCAAGUCGCGUGAAUGAAGAAGGAUCUAUGGUUCGUAAACUUCUUUUGCAGGGGAAUAAAGUGCAGGACGUGUCCUGUUUUGUAUGUACCCUGAGAAUAAGGAUCGGCUAACUCCGUGCCAGCAGCCGCGGUAAUACGGAGGAUCCGAGCGUUAUCCGGAUUUAUUGGGUUUAAAGGGUGCGUAGGUGGUUUGAUAAGUCAGCGGUGAAAGUUUGCAGCUUAACUGUAAAAAUGCCGUUGAAACUGUCGGACUUGAGUGUAAAUGAGGUAGGCGGAAUGCGUGGUGUAGCGGUGAAAUGCAUAGAUAUCACGCAGAACUCCGAUUGCGAAGGCAGCUUACUAAGCUACAACUGACACUGAAGCACGAAAGCGUGGGGAUCAAACAGGAUUAGAUACCCCGGUAGUCC
RNAcentral lists this ribosomal RNA (445 nucleotides) under uncultured bacterium. Its description in RNAcentral is "partial 16S ribosomal RNA". It matches the Rfam family "Bacterial small subunit ribosomal RNA", at positions 354 to 796 of the family's 1533-position model. The record is from RNAcentral.